This 505-nucleotide ribosomal RNA is filed under the name uncultured bacterium. RNAcentral describes it as "partial 16S ribosomal RNA". It matches the Rfam family "Bacterial small subunit ribosomal RNA", at positions 28 to 507 of the family's 1533-position model. The record is from RNAcentral.
GACGAACGCUGGCGGCGUGCCUAAUACAUGCAAGUAGAACGCACAGUUUAUACCGUAGCUUGCUACACCAUAAACUGUGAGUUGCGAACGGGUGAGUAACGCGUAGGUAACCUGCCUGGUAGCGGGGGGUAACUAUUGGAAACGAUAGCUAAUACCGCCUAAUAUUGAUUAUUGCAUGAUAAUUGAUUGAAAGAUGCUAUUGCAUCACUACCAGAUGGACCUUCGUUGUAUUAGCUAGUAGGUGAGGUAACGGCUCACCUAGGCGACGAUACAUAGCCGACCUGAGAGGGUGAUCGGCCACACUGGGACUGAGACACGGCCCAGACGCCUACGGGAGGCAGCAGUAGGGAAUCUUCGGCAAUGGACGAAAGUCUGACCGAGCAACGCCGCGUGAGUGAAGAAGGUUUUCGGAUCGUAAAGCUCUGUUGUAAGAGAAGAACGGGUGUGAGAGUGGAAAGUUCACACUGUGACGGUAUCUUACCAGAAAGGGACGGCUAACUACGUG